GCCGGCAGCUAGCUCUCUGCAGCUCUCACAUGGUCGCCCACUGAAGCCAAGCAGGGCUGAGCCUGGUCAGUGUCUGGAUGGGAGACCACAUGGGAAAGCUAGGUUGCUGCCGGAA
RNAcentral lists this ribosomal RNA (115 nucleotides) under Danio rerio (zebrafish). The record is from RNAcentral. Lineage: Eukaryota; Metazoa; Chordata; Actinopteri; Cypriniformes; Danionidae.